RNAcentral lists this small nuclear RNA (149 nucleotides) under Myotis brandtii (Brandt's bat). RNAcentral's name for it is "U2 spliceosomal RNA". It matches the Rfam family "U2 spliceosomal RNA". From Rfam's summary of the family: U2 is a small nuclear RNA (snRNA) component of the spliceosome (involved in pre-mRNA splicing). Complementary binding between U2 snRNA (in an area lying towards the 5' end but 3' to hairpin I) and the branchpoint sequence (BPS) of the intron results the bulging out of an unpaired adenosine, on the BPS, which initiates a nucleophilic attack at the intronic 5' splice site, thus starting the first of two transesterification reactions that mediate splicing. Lineage: Eukaryota; Metazoa; Chordata; Mammalia; Chiroptera; Vespertilionidae. The record is from Rfam by way of RNAcentral.
AUCGCUUCUCGGCCUUUUGGCUAAGAUCAAGUGUAGUAUCUGUUCUUAUCAGUUUAAAUAUAGUUAAGUGAAAUAAGCCAGUCCCAGGCCCGGGAGGAGCCUGCAACCAAGGUACAUGCUCUUGACUGGAAUCGAACCCAGGACCCUUU